AAACAGUAAAAUGGCAGCAGUAGUAAGCAAUGUAAGUAAGCAAAGUAAAUCAAUAGGCUUACUCUGCUAUGCAAAUUAAAACAUUUACAUUUGCGGGAUCAGUGCCAAUUGACAUGACUAAGAAAAAUAUUGACCUUUCUGUUGGGCAAAUUACAUUAGUCUUCAUGGUUCAUGAAAUGAAGAAAUCUGGGAAUAUGUGAUGCUGGAAGAAAUGUGAAAAAUGAGGACUGGUGUAGAGGUGCAAGCUGAAUAUGAAAUUGCAAGCUGCCACAGUGAGGAACCUCAUAGCAGAACAGACGAUGGAUAAUCCUGUGUUUUGCUGAGCUAACAGCAUGGGCUGUAGCCUGGGCAGAAAGGCAGCAACAGUUAAAUUCUGCACGGAGUGCGAGUUUAUAGUCCUACUUACUCUGUUUAAAUGUGGUAGGAUCCUGAAUAUAUUACAUUCUUAUGCUUCAGACAGGUGGUUGUCAGCUCUGAUUCUGUAAUGGCAACUUUUCUUGACUUGGCAACACACUACACAAGAUGAGUAUUCUCAGCUGCUCCCUUUUAACUGGAAAAGCCUCACUGAUGCCUGAUGCUGCAGCUAUGGACUUAUCCUGGCAAUUUGUCACACAAGUACAGUUUUGCAAACAAAUUUAUUCAAAUACUCAUACUAAUGAUAAUUAUAUUUGUCCUCUAAACUUAAUUUCCAGGGGUAAUCCUUUAAGCCAUUAGUUGGGGCUGGAUGGGUGAGAGAGGAUCACUUCAUGGGCUCCUGCUGACAGUGCAGAUGAGAGAGCAGAGCCUGCAGCGGGAAGAAGGUGUGGGGAAAGGACGAGGGUCACUCAUGUAUGGGAGGACUCCUGCCCACUACAGCUGAAACCAUGGAGGUUUUUGUGGGACAGCAAAGGAACAGAUCCAUAGGAAAAGGCCAAGAGAGACACUGGAGUAAUUUAACAAAAUGAUCUUUCUUCAGCUGCUACUGUUUUCUGAGUC
Molecule: non-coding RNA, 975 nt
Organism: Taeniopygia guttata (zebra finch)
Lineage: Eukaryota; Metazoa; Chordata; Aves; Passeriformes; Estrildidae
Source: RefSeq, a predicted model, not a curated record